CUCAAAUGUAUGUUGACGUAUUCUGAAAGGGAUACUUCUUCGGACAAUAUACAAGGUGCUGCAUGGUUGUCGUCAGCUCGUGCCGUGAGGUGUCGGGUUAAGUCCCAUAACGAGCGCAACCCCUACCUUUAGUUGCCAUCAGGUUAAGCUGGGGACUCUAAAGGAACUGCCUACGCAAGUAGUGAGGAAGGCGGGGAUGACGUCAAAUCAGCACGGCCCUUACGUCCAGGGCUACACACGUGCUACAAUGGCCGAUACAGAGGGCAGCUACCUGGUGACAGGAUGCAAAUCUCCAAAGUCGGUCUCAGUUCGGAUCGGAGUCUGCAACCCGACUCCGUGAAGUUGGAUUCGCUAGUAAUCGCGCAUCAGCCAUGGCGCGGUGAAUACGUUCCCGGGCCUU
This 400-nucleotide ribosomal RNA is filed under the name uncultured Sphingobacteriales bacterium. RNAcentral describes it as "bacterial SSU rRNA". It matches the Rfam family "Bacterial small subunit ribosomal RNA", at positions 980 to 1382 of the family's 1533-position model. Lineage: Bacteria; Pseudomonadati; Bacteroidota; Sphingobacteriia; Sphingobacteriales. The record is from RNAcentral.